RNAcentral lists this ribosomal RNA (253 nucleotides) under uncultured bacterium. Its description in RNAcentral is "partial 16S ribosomal RNA". It matches the Rfam family "Bacterial small subunit ribosomal RNA", at positions 524 to 776 of the family's 1533-position model. The record is from RNAcentral.
UACAGAGGUCCCAAGCGUUGUUCGGAUUCAUUGGGCGUAAAGGGUGCGUAGGCGGUGACGUAAGUUGGAUGUGAAAUCCCGGGGCUCAACCCCGGAACUGCAUUCAAUACUGCGUUGCUAGAGUACUGGAGAGGAGAUUGGAAUUCACGGUGUAGCAGUGAAAUGCGUAGAUAUCGUGAGGAAGACCAGUGGCGAAGGCGAAUCUCUGGACAGUUACUGACGCUGAGGCACGAAGGCCAGGGGAGCAAACGGG